CAGUCGCCACGGUAAUACAGAGGGUGCGAGCGUUAAUCGGAUUUACUGGGCGUAAAGCGUGCGUAGGCGGCUUCUUAAGUCGGAUGUGAAAUCCCUGAGCUUAACUUAGGAAUUGCAUUCGAUACUGGGAAGCUAGAGUAUGGGAGAGGAUGGUAGAAUUCCAGGUGUAGCGGUGAAAUGCGUAGAGAUCUGGAGGAAUACCGAUGGCGAAGGCAGCCUUCUGGCCUAAUACUGACGCUGAGGUACGAAAGCAUGGGGAGCAAACAGGAUUAGAUACCCCUGUAGUCCCUGUCUCUUAUAC
RNAcentral lists this ribosomal RNA (301 nucleotides) under uncultured bacterium. RNAcentral describes it as "partial 16S ribosomal RNA". It matches the Rfam family "Bacterial small subunit ribosomal RNA", at positions 509 to 807 of the family's 1533-position model. The record is from RNAcentral.